GACAUGAAGAGGAAGAAAAGAUGAACUAAGAGCAGUGGGCAUGGGAACAUGAUGGAAGGCUAAAAGCCGUUGUUCCUCGUCUAACACUAGAGGAGGCUUUGGUUUGAGUUUUUGUGAUGCCUUCCAUGCCUAUUGUUCUUUGGUGUCCCUUCCUCUUCAUGGGAUAC
RNAcentral lists this microRNA precursor (167 nucleotides) under Triticum aestivum (bread wheat). RNAcentral's name for it is "MIR2118 microRNA precursor family". It matches the Rfam family "MIR2118 microRNA precursor family". Lineage: Eukaryota; Viridiplantae; Streptophyta; Magnoliopsida; Poales; Poaceae. The record is from Rfam by way of RNAcentral.